This is a non-coding RNA of Ixodes scapularis (black-legged tick), 77 nucleotides long. NCBI's taxonomy places the organism in Eukaryota, Metazoa, Arthropoda, Arachnida, Ixodida, Ixodidae. The record is from Rfam.
GCAGUCGUGGCCUAGAAGGUGAUGGACUAGAAAUCCACUGGGGUAUCCCCGCACAGAUUCAAAUCCUGUCAACUGCA